GGAUUCGAACUUGGGUCUCGGGUACCAACCACCAAGCCCUUUGCCACUUGCUCUAAGGAUAGGUAAUAAUGUGGUGUUUAUAUGGUGAUAUAUAUAUAUAUAUAUACAUAUAUAUAUAGUCCGGCUAGGGUACUAUCGAUAGCACCAAGAAUUUAGUGCUAUCGAGUUUUCCACUGUAAGAUUUAACCUUUUGAUUAUUUUUACCGGUUAGAUUAUACUAUUCAAUCAACCACUCACUCAACCCUAGGGGGCCCACAUCAUCCUAACCAUCAAUUUCUCAAUCUAAGAGCUAAAAAAUUAAUAGCACCAAUAACUUGGUACUAUUGAUAGUAUUUCAGCCUAGUUCUAUAUAGAGUCCGGCUAGGGUACUAUCGAUAGCACCAAAAAUUUGGUGCUAUCGAGUUUUUCACCGUAAGAUUUAACCUUUUGAUUAUUUUUACCCGUUAAAUUAUACUAUUCAACCAACCACUCACUGCCAAGAAUUGUAGAGAGAGAUUUUUAAUAUUUUUUAAGUGAGA
This 518-nucleotide long non-coding RNA is filed under the name Ananas comosus (pineapple). RNAcentral's name for it is "long non-coding RNA (ACOM_LNC037607)". The record is from RNAcentral. Lineage: Eukaryota; Viridiplantae; Streptophyta; Magnoliopsida; Poales; Bromeliaceae.